AGAUAAAAGUGAUACACAUAUCUACUCUCACCCCCCUCCCCCAAACUUAUUACAGAACAUAAGUUCGAAAAUAAGUUUGGAGGGAUGAUGAUAUGUGUGUCACUACUCACAGAAACACAUGCUCCACGGUGGUGAUAUGAACAAGGCGCGAGUUCCCGCAUCUUCCAAGCUCAACACUGCACUAAAAACCCCAAACAAAACAACGAAACAAAAAGAAACAAAACGAAACUAAAAGAACGAAAAAAACAAAACAAAGAAAAACAGUUGGGUUACCUCCCAACAAGUGCUUAAUUUAACGUCUAGAGCUCGACGAUACCUCAAAAACUCAUGGAGGUCGGAAACAGCACUCUAACCAUUGGAAAGCUUUUCUACUCUUGGGUGCCCUCUCCACCAAAACACUUCUCUUGGCUCGAACAUCCUCCACAAGCAUUGCCCCCUUCUCAUUCUUGUUCCGAAAAAUCCGGAAUUUCACUUUCUUCUUCUUGGGGGUAUGGGUUUUCAAAGACCCCCCAUCAUGCUCCAAAAACAAACACAUCUCAAAAUUCAGAACUUCUUUUGGCUUUGGAGUUUUUUUCUUGGCUUCAUACUUGGGCAGCUCAUUCUUCUCAACCUCUUCAUCCUCCGAAUUUGCUAGAAAACUGUCAGCCAAAUUAAUCACUUCAUUCUGGGGAACUUCCUUUGGUGGAGGUUUCUUGAAAAUCACAGUUUCCCCAUAGGCUCCCAAUGUCAUCGUCCCCCUUUGCAUAUCUAGCUUUGCUCCACAUGUGGCAAGGAAAGGUCUCCCUAACAGCAAAGGCAUCUUUGGAUCCUCCGGAAUAUCCAACACUACAAAGUCGACUGGGAAGAAAAAAUCACUCACCUUCACAAGCACAUCUUCCGCAACUCCUAGAGGUUUAGAGCAAGACUUAUCAAUAAGCUGAAUUGUCUUGUUGGUUGGCUUCAAAUCCCCCAGCUGCAACUUCCUAUAAACUUUGAGAGGCAUGACAUUUAUGCUUGCUCCGGUGUCACACAUCACUUUCUCAAACAAUGACUUUCCAAUCUUCACAGGAAUAUUGAAGCUGCCCGGAUCUUCUCUCUUUGGAGGCAACUGAUACUCCUUCACUGCGAGCACCUCCUCAAAUUCAUUGAAUGCACUCUUCUUUUCCAUCACAGCCUUCACAAUUUGCACCUCAUUUGGCUUGUUUCUCAAGAUCUCCACGGAAGGAAUAUUCACAGCCAACUUCUUAAAUGUCUCCAAAAAUUUGGAGCUUUGCUCAUCUAAUCUUGGCCUCGGGAAUGGAAGAGGGGGAGAAACAGAAAUACCUUCAUCCUCAACUGAAUUAUCAACCACCCGGAUGGAAUGACAUUGCUGAUUUUGCUGAGGCUGUUGAUGUUGGCUCUUCGGAUUGAACUGAGUGUUGCUAGGAAAUUGGCCUGGCUUGUGCUGCGCAGCUGCUUGGUUAGCCAUCUGACCAACUUGAGUCUCCAACAUCUGCACCUGCUUAGACAAUGCUGAAAAAUUAUUCUCCAUGUUAGAAAUUUUGGUCCCCAUGUUUCAGUUUGCCUCCAUCCCAGUCAUCUUCACCAACAUCUGCUUCAUCAUGUCCUCCAGUCGAAUCCUUCUUUGGCUCAUUGAUGACUCCUCCACUAGACACAGAAAAUCCCGGUGGAGGUUGCAAAGCAUUGUUGGGAUUGCUAUAGGCUAGAUUCGGGUGUGGGCGCCCUCCUGGCUGAUAUUGCUGCUGAAACUGCUGCCCUCUGUUGUACAUUCCUGGCUGUACCUUCUGAAAAUUUCCAUAGUUUUGGCCAUUGACAAAAUUUACGUCUUCUAUGCAUAUGGGAUCUCUCACAGCUUGCUCCUGAUUUCCAAUGGUCAAAGCAUUAAUCUUAGUAGUCAGCUCUGCCAGCUGCGUAGCAAUCGCUGCCUGCUGUGUAACCAUCGUUGCCAUAGGAUCAGAGCUGGAAGCAGCUGCCACCCUUUUCAAUUGUACUCUCUCUGAUGGCCAUUGAAAACUCGUAGCAGCCAUACUCUCAAUGAUGCUCCACGCCUCGGAACUGCCUUUCUGAAGCAGAGAACCUCCUGCAGCUGUGUCCAAAUGCAUUCUUGUACGCUCUCCACAAGCAUUGUAGAACAUGAUAAUGAGCGUGCCUUCAUCAAAUCCGUGGCUCGGACACUUUCUCAACUUCUCUUGAUACCUCUCCCAUGUAUCUGCCAGCUUUUCUCCCUCAAACUGCUGGAACUGCACAAUGUCCAUCUUUAAUUUCAGGGUCAGGCCAGGAGGAUGGAACUUGCGUAGGAAAGCUUGAGCUACAUCUUCCCACGUAGUAGUUGCACUCAAAUUCAAUGUAUGAUACCACGACUUCGCUUUAUCCCGCAGUGAGAAAGGGAAAAGACGAAGACGGAUAAUAUCAUCAGAUACUCCAUUCAUCUUUACAGUGCUGGAAAGCUCCAGAAAUUGCGCCAGAUGCGCAUUAGGAUCCUCUAUAGCGUGUCCUCCAUACUGGUUCUGCUGGACCAUCGUGAUCAAACCAGUCUUCAGCUCAAAAUUAUUGGCAUUAAUACGGGGAGGUUCCUGAUACUCAUACUGAGGAACGAACAUCUCUGCAAUCGGAGGCUGAUUCUGAGCUUCUUUAGCAGCUUGAGCGUCCAACAGCUGUUGCAGCUGCUCCUGUAGAGCACGAAUCUGUUCAUCAGUAGCCAUCGUAUGCAGUGCCUGAAAAAAAAAUGAGAAUUAGAAAAAUAAAAAUAAAAAGAAAACAGUAAACGCCUGAAGUACUACUAAGUCCUAUCGGAAAUAUUAAAGAAACUUCUAAUCAGUCCCCGGCAACGGCGCCAAAAAGUUGAUCACUAAUUUCUUAGCAAUAAAAAUACUGCAACUAACACAGUGUAAUUGUAGCAAGCAACAAGUAAUCGAGUAUCGUAUCCACAGGGACUGACACAACGAAACAACUCUAGCUAUCUCCUAAACAGACUAUAACAGUAGACAGGCAAACGAAUAAAAAGAAGGUUUGAUUGACUUAAACUAAAACGCAAAUAGCAAUAAAUUCAAAACACGUAGGAAAAAUCAAAUAUAAAAGACAACUGAUCCUAGGGUAGUAAAUUCAUUAAUUAAAUCUACGCAAUAAAUCUAUUAAUCCUAUGUACCAGUUUAAUCCAGUUAUGAUGAGAGAUCACAGAACUAUUCACAAGCUUCUCUAACGAACACCUAUGAAAGUAGAUUAAUUUAUCCCCCUUUACAUUCAAGACUCCAAGGAAUAAAUUAACUCCCAAGCGUACACAAAGAAUAGCUCCCUAUAGCUUCACCUCUUGCAUUCAAGACUCAAGGUAAUCAUAUCAUCAUUCCUGAAUCGCUAACAUUAUCCAGCUCAAACGAAACUAACAUGAAACUAUUGGCCAAAUAAUUCACAAGAAAUUAAGCACCAGGAAUCAUGAAUCACAAGUUUGGAGGGCAAAUUGAUAUCAAAAAUCAACAACAUAUAAUCACUUGUACAAACCUAGUUCAGAUAAAGAACUAGCUAGACAUCAUAAAAUAAAAAAAGCAUAAAUAAAAAAAAGCAAUUAAAUAAAUAAAUAGAUAAAACCCGGAAGAAAUUGAUGAACAGCUUGAAUCUUGAGGAAAAUAACUAAUCUAUGAAAACUGAAUAAAAAGAAAGAAAGGGGAAAGAGUGAAAGAUGUGUCUAUAGGUCAGGGAAAGGACCUAUAUAUAGGCACAGAGAUAAAUACAGUGUAAAGCUCGAAAAUACUGAUAAAAUCCGAAAAUCCGCAAAAUCCCGAAAAUUCGGAAAUUCCCGUCGGGCACUAUUCACUGCUGCGCGCGCUUUCUUGUUUGGCCAUACUUUCUCGUCCGAACUCCGAUUUCGACCGUUUGCGCCUACAACUCGUAUCGAGACGAUUACAACUUUCAUUAAGAACAGUCCAAAUUCGAACUCCAUAUUUCUGUAAAAUCAUCAAAGUCGAAAGUAACAUAUUUCACAAGAUAAACAAUUUAAGCACAAAACAAUCAUCCAACACUCAAUUUCCUAUAAAAUUACAUCAUAUGAAAUUAAAAACCAUGGAAACAUGAGUGUUAUCAACUCCCCCAAACUUAAGCAUUGUUCGUCCUCGAAUAAUGAGAAGAACACAAUCAAUACACGAAUGGGUAAGAAAUCUAGUCAUCAUGCCUCCGAAAAAUAAAGAAUGAUAGAAUUCUCAAAUCCUCAAUAAUUAAGCACAAAAUCACCAAUAAACACAACUAUAGCAAAAUCAACCUUGACAUUCCAAACAAUUGAAUCUCACAAGGUAUGUGUAUCACUCAACUCUCAAUUUGAUGGAAUAUAUAGGACGUGUAUGCUCUCAUCGAAUUCAAUGCAAUGCAGAUCUCUUACCAUAGGCUUGCCAAUCGUCUACAAUCUCCAUCGCUAAAAGUGUGCCAGGACUAAGAUCAAAAAGGUCUUUUUCUUGGGUUAUAAUGUAGGGACAUUGGUUAAGGUAGGGAAAUAUAGGCUAAGUGACUCAAAAUAAUAAGAACACCAACCUUAUCUUCACAAUCAAGUAUGGAAUAAAUUCCAUCUUCCCCCAACUAUCCACCAUAAUCACACAAUCAAGGGAUUAAUCAUCAAAACAAACUAAACACUCUUUUAUGCUCUCCAUUUAUUUCCAACAAACAAAGUCGAUUUUCUAAAAAUUUCUCAAUAAACAUCGACUUAACUUUUUCUCUUUUCUUUCUUUUUCUUUUCUUUUUUUUCUUUUUUUUUCUAACUUUUUUUUUCUUUUCCACACUUUUCUAGAGCUUCAUAAGAGUAAAUAGUAGCACAAUUCAUCCCUUCUUUUUCAACCCACUAUGAAUAUUCACCACACAAAGAUCCCAUAUACUACAUCACCCCCUAUCAUCCAGCUAAAGAAUAAAAGCUAAAUAGGCUCAAAGUGGAUAACAAAGGAUAAAUUUUUUUCAUAAGGACAGUGUUUGGGAUAAAAUGUGGCUAACAAAAGAUGGCCUAAAAUCAUCUCCUAAUCCUGGGCACAACAGCAACCUCGACACAGAAACCAUGGCAAGUUCUAGAAGAUCACCACAUGCAUGACAAAACUCACAACAAAGAAUAAACUGUGUAUGAUAAACAGUAUGGCUCAAAAUCUCACAGGUUUAUUCAACGUCUAAAAGUCAAGGUCAAAAUCACUCUAGAAUUAUGCAAAUUAGUUCCAAUUAUGCUUAAAUCAUCAAAGAAAAUCAAAUCCAAAUUUUUUUUUCAAGAAAUCAUCAUUGGCAUCUCACCAGAAAUCUAAUGGAGAAUAAUCACUCAAGAACAAAACAAACACACACACCAACCAAGCAGGAUAAAACAAUAAAGCAACAAAAAUAUAAAAGUGAUACACAUAUCUACUCUCACCCCCCUCCCCAAACUUAUUACAGAACAUAAGUUCGAAAUAAGUUUGGAGGGAUGAUGAUAUGUGUGUCACUACUCACAGAAAACACAUGCUCCAGGUGGUGUAUACAAGGCGCGAGUUCCCGCAUCUUCCAAGCUCAACACUGCACUAAACCCCAACAAAACAGAAAACAAAGAAACAAAAGAAACUAAAACAAUAAAAAAAAAAAAAAACAAAGAAAAACAGUUGGGUUACCUCCCAACAAGUGCUUAAUUUAACGUCUAGAGCUCGACGAU
This 5617-nucleotide long non-coding RNA is filed under the name Salvia miltiorrhiza (redroot sage). RNAcentral's name for it is "long non-coding RNA (SMIL_LNC012093)". The record is from RNAcentral. Lineage: Eukaryota; Viridiplantae; Streptophyta; Magnoliopsida; Lamiales; Lamiaceae.